This 460-nucleotide ribosomal RNA is filed under the name uncultured bacterium. RNAcentral's name for it is "partial 16S ribosomal RNA". It matches the Rfam family "Bacterial small subunit ribosomal RNA", at positions 338 to 795 of the family's 1533-position model. The record is from RNAcentral.
CCUACGGGGGACUGCAGUGAGGAAUAUUGGUCAAUGGGCGAGAGCCUGAACCAGCCAAGUCGCGUGAAGGAUGACGGCCCUACGGGUUGUAAACUUCUUUUGUCAGGGAGCAAUUGGCGCUACGUGUAGCGGUAUCGAGAGUACCUGAAGAAAAAGCAUCGGCUAACUCCGUGCCAGCAGCCGCGGUAAUACGGAGGAUGCGAGCGUUAUCCGGAUUUAUUGGGUUUAAAGGGUGCGUAGGCGGAAUGCCAAGUCAGCGGUAAAAUCGCGGGGCUCAACCUCGCUCCGCCGUUGAAACUGGCGUUCUUGAGUGGGCGAGAAGUAUGCGGAAUGCGUGGUGUAGCGGUGAAAUGCAUAGAUAUCACGCAGAACUCCGAUUGCGAAGGCAGCCUACUAAACUGCCACUGACAUUGAUGCUCGAAAGUGUGGGUAUCAAACAGGAUUAGAUACCCGAGUAGUC